UCUGACUUAGGGUCUAUGGAAUCUGAUUUAGUGUCUAUGGAAUCCGAUUUAGGGUCCAUGGAAUCUGAUUUAGGGUCUAUGGAGUCUGAUUUAGGGUCUAUGGAAUCUGAUUUAGGGUCUAUGGAAUCUGAUUUAGGGUCUAUGGAAUCUGAUUUAGGGUCUAUGGAAUCUGAUUUAGCGUCUAUGGAAUCUGAUUUAGGGUCUAUCGAAUCUGAUUUAGAGUCUACGGAAUCUGAUUUAGCGUCUAUGGAAUCUGAUUUAUUGUCUAUGGAACUUGAUUUAGGGUCUAUGGAAUCUGACUUAGGGUCUAUGGAAUCUGACUUAGGGUCUAUGGAAUCUUAUUUAGUGUCUAUGGAAUCCGAUUUAGGGUCUAUGGAAUCUGAUUUAAGGUCCAUGGAAUCAGAUUUAUGGUCUAUGGAAUCUGACUUACGGUCUAUGGAAUCUGACUUAGGGUCUAUGGAAUCUGAUUUAGGGUCUAUGGAAUCUGAUUUAGGGUCUAUGGAAUCUGAUUUAGGGUCUAUGGAAUCUGACUUGGGGUCCAUGGAAUCUGAUUUAGGGUCUAUGGAAUUUGAUUCAGGGUCUAUGGAAUCUGAUUUAGGGUCUAUGGAAUCUGAUUUAGGGUCUAUGGAAUCUGAUUUAGGGUCUAUGGAAUCUGAUUUAGGGUCUAUGGAAUCUGACUUGGGGUCCAUGGAAUCUGAUUUAGGGUCUAUGGAAUUUGAUUCAGGGUCUAUGGAAUCUGAUUUAGGGUCUAUGGAAUCUGAUUCAGGGUCUAUGGAAUCUGAUUUAGGUCUAUGGAAUCUGAUUUAGGGUCCACGGAAUCUGAUUUAGGGUCUAUGGAAUCUGAUUUAGGGUCUAUGGAAUCUGAUUUAGGGUCUAUGGAAUCUGACUUGAGGUCCAUGGAAUCUGAUUGAAGGUCUAUGGAAUCUGAUUUAGGGUCCAUGGAAUCUGAUUUAGAGUCUAUUGAAUCUGAUUUAGGGUCUAUGGAAUCUGAUUUAGGGUCUAUGGAAUCUGACUUGGGGUCCAUGGAAUCUGAUUUAACAUCUAUGGAAUCUGAUUUAGGGUCUAUGGAAUCUGAUUUAGGGUAUAUGGAAUCUGACUUAGGGUCUAUGGAAUCUGAUUUAUGGUCGAUGGAAUCUGAUUUAGGGUCUAUGGAAUCUGACUUAGGGUCUAUGGAAUCUGACUUAGGGUCUAUGGAAUCUGAUUUAGUGUCUAUGGAAUCCGAUUUAGGGUCCAUGGAAUCUGAUUUAGAGUCUAUGGAAUCUGACUUAG
Molecule: long non-coding RNA, 1269 nt
Filed under: Salmo salar (Atlantic salmon)
Lineage: Eukaryota; Metazoa; Chordata; Actinopteri; Salmoniformes; Salmonidae
Description: lncRNA (ENSSSAG00000085745.1)
Source: RNAcentral